GCAAGUCGAACGAUGAAACCUAGCUUGCUAGGUGAAUUAGUGGCGAACGGGUGAGUAAUAUAUAGCUAACCUGCCCCUUAGAGAGGGACAACAGUUGGAAACGACUGCUAAUACCUCAUACUCCUUUUUAACAUAUGUUAGAUUGGGAAAUGCUCCGGCGCUAAGGGAUGGGGCUUUACGGUAUCAGGUAGUUGGUGGGGUAAAAGCCUACCAAGCCUAUGACGCCUAGCUGGUCUGAGAGGAUGAUC
This 248-nucleotide ribosomal RNA is filed under the name uncultured bacterium. RNAcentral describes it as "partial 16S ribosomal RNA". It matches the Rfam family "Bacterial small subunit ribosomal RNA", at positions 57 to 305 of the family's 1533-position model. The record is from RNAcentral.